UUAUGGCUCAGGAUGAAUGCUGGCGGCAUGCCUAAUACAUGCAAGUCGAGCGGUAACAGGACUAGCUUGCUAGUUGCUGACGAGCGGCGGACGGCUGAGUAACGCAUGGGAACGCACCCAAACUGAGGGAUAACUAGUCGAAAGAUUAGCUAAUACCGCAUGUGAUCUUCGGAUUAAAGCCUCCGGGCGGUUUGGGAGCGGCCUGUGUACGAUUAGAUAGUUGGUGAGGUAAUGGCUCACCAAGUCGACGAUCGUUAGAUGGUUUGAGAGGAUGAUCAUCCAGACUGGAACUGAGACACGGUCCAGACUCCUACGGGAGGCAGCAGUAGGGAAUCUUUCACAAUGGGCGAAAGCCUGAUGGGAAGCAAUGCCGCGUGCAGGACGAAGGCCUUCGGGUUGUAAACUGCUUUUAUAAGCGAGGAAUAUGACGGUAACUUAUGAAUAAGGAUCGGCUAACUACGUGCCAGCAGCGGC
Molecule: ribosomal RNA, 474 nt
Filed under: uncultured bacterium
Lineage: Bacteria
Description: bacterial SSU rRNA
Rfam family: Bacterial small subunit ribosomal RNA
Source: RNAcentral